RNAcentral lists this ribosomal RNA (432 nucleotides) under uncultured bacterium. RNAcentral describes it as "partial 16S ribosomal RNA". It matches the Rfam family "Bacterial small subunit ribosomal RNA", at positions 29 to 507 of the family's 1533-position model. The record is from RNAcentral.
ACGAACGCUGGCGGCAUGCCUAACCCCUGCCAGUCGAACGAGACCUUCGGGUCUAGUGGCGCACGGGUGCGUAACGCGUGGGAACCUGCCCUUAGGUUCGGAAUAACUCCCCGAAAGGGGUGCUAAUACCGGAUAAUGUCUUCGGACCAAAGAUUUAUCGCCUUUGGAUGGGCCCGCGUUGGAUUAGCUAGUUGGUAGGGUAAAAGCCUACCAAGGCGACGAUCCAUAGCUGGUCUGAGAGGAUGAUCAGCCACACUGGGACUGAGACACGGCCCAGACUCCUACGGGAGGCAGCAGUGGGGAAUAUUGGACAAUGGGCGAAAGCCUGAUCCAGCAAUGCCGCGUGAGUGAUGAAGGCCUUAGGGUUGUAAAGCUCUUUUACCCGGGAUGAUAAUGACAGUACCGUGAGAAUAAGCUCCGGCUAACUCCGUG